AGUGAACGCUGGCGGUAGGCCUAACACAUGCAAGUCGAACGGCAGCACAGGAGAGCUUGCUCUCUGGGUGGCGAGUGGCGGACGGGUGAGGAACACAUCGGUAUCUACUCUGUCGUGGGGGAUAACGUAGGGAAACUUACGCUAAUACUGCAUACGACCUACGGGUGAAAGCAUGGGACCUUCGGGCCUUGCGCGAUUGAAUGAGCCGAUGUCGGAGUAGCUAGUUGGCGGGGUAAAGGCCCACCAAGGCGACGAUCCGUAGCGGGUCUGAGAGGAUGAGCAGCCACACUGGAACUGGGACACGGUCCAGACUCCUACGGGAGGCAGCAGUGGGGAAUAUUGGACAAGGGGGGCAAGCCUGAUCCAGCCAUACCGCGUGGGUGAAGAAGGCCUUCGGGUUGUAAAGCCCUUUUGUUGGGAAAGAAAUCCAGCUGGCUAAUACCCGGUUGGAAUGACGGUACCCAAAGAAUAAGCACCGGCUAACUUCGUGCCAGCAGCCGCAGUAA
RNAcentral lists this ribosomal RNA (506 nucleotides) under uncultured bacterium. RNAcentral's name for it is "partial 16S ribosomal RNA". It matches the Rfam family "Bacterial small subunit ribosomal RNA", at positions 29 to 523 of the family's 1533-position model. The record is from RNAcentral.